This 253-nucleotide ribosomal RNA is filed under the name uncultured bacterium. RNAcentral describes it as "partial 16S ribosomal RNA". It matches the Rfam family "Bacterial small subunit ribosomal RNA", at positions 524 to 776 of the family's 1533-position model. The record is from RNAcentral.
UACAGAGGUCUCAAGCGUUGUUCGGAUUCAUUGGGCGUAAAGGGUGCGUAGGCGGCGUGGUAAGUCGGGUGUGAAAUCUCGGAGCUUAACUCCGAAACUGCAUUCGAUACUGCCGUGCUUGAGGACUGGAGAGGAGACUGGAAUUUACGGUGUAGCGGUGAAAUGCGUAGAUAUCGUAAGGAAGACCAGUGGCGAAGGCGGGUCUCUGGACAGUUCCUGACGCUGAGGCGCGAAGGCUAGGGGAGCAAACGGG